RNAcentral lists this long non-coding RNA (431 nucleotides) under Vigna radiata. Its description in RNAcentral is "long non-coding RNA (VRAD_LNC000011)". The record is from RNAcentral. Lineage: Eukaryota; Viridiplantae; Streptophyta; Magnoliopsida; Fabales; Fabaceae.
UGCUCUGAGAUACAGGUGAGUCAUGAAUCUGUUUUUGUUAGGUACGCUACCUGACUUCAAUUAGGAAGGUGCAGGUUGAAUUUACUAAAAUAUACCUUCAUAUUCCAUAUGCUAAAAUGAGAUUCUGGAAUUAGUUUUAAAUGGUAUGCACAUGAUAAUACCAAGAACAUUCUUCUUAUGUGCUUACUACUAUAUACUGGAGCCAGCUUACAUCUUUGAAUUUUUCCAGCUUGUCAAGUUUUGUGAUGGUUUUCACAUUAGUCCAUUAUUACGGACUAAUAGUAACUUGGGGUGUUAGUAAUGAUUACUUUGACAUGUUCCUGUGUUGAAUAACAGUGAGAUCUCAUUACAAUCGGAAGUAUGUAGGAUGCCGGAGGCAAAACACUUGCCUCUAUAUGUAUCUGAUUGGUGAUUGGUUUUUUAUGUCGUCA